UCGCAGUAAGGCGAUGGUGCUCCGCCUUAUCAACCGCCCUAACCAGAGGGACGAUGGCGCCUGCAAUAAC
Molecule: non-coding RNA, 70 nt
Filed under: Filimonas lacunae
Lineage: Bacteria; Pseudomonadati; Bacteroidota; Chitinophagia; Chitinophagales; Chitinophagaceae
Description: Fluoride sequence
Rfam family: Fluoride riboswitch aptamer (crcB RNA motif)
Source: Rfam by way of RNAcentral